RNAcentral lists this ribosomal RNA (402 nucleotides) under uncultured bacterium. RNAcentral describes it as "bacterial SSU rRNA". It matches the Rfam family "Bacterial small subunit ribosomal RNA", at positions 28 to 429 of the family's 1533-position model. The record is from RNAcentral.
GACGAACGCUUGCGGCGUGCCUAAGAAAUGCAAGUCGAGCGGAGAAGUAGCAAUACUUCUUAGCGGCGAACGGUCGCGUAACACGUAAGCAACCUGCCGAAAAGACCGGGACAACAGCCCGAAAGGGCUGCUAAUACCGGAUGUGGCCACUUUCUCGCAUGGGAGAGUGAUUAAACCGAGCAAUCGGCUUUUCGAGGGGCGUUGCGGCCUAUCAGCUAGUUGGUGGGGUAACGGCCUACCAAGGCGACGACGGGUAGCUGGUCUGAGAGGACGGCCAGCCGGACUGGGACUGAGAUACGGCCCAGACUCCUACGGGGGGCGAGCAAUUAGGAAUCUUGCGCAAUGGGCGAAAGACCUGACGCAGCGACGCCGCGUGGAGGAGGAAGUCCUCGGUAGUGUAAC